UAAAGAUAUCAUUCGGCGGGAUACAGAAUUCCUCGCUUAUUUGUUGAAAGGGCUUGAUUUUAUAAUCCUCUGUUAUAACUAUAAUUGUAUUUAUUCCCUUGCUCUUUCAAGAGUUGAUCUAAUAUUAUUUAGCAUAUCAUUAAUCACUGAGAUUGGUAGUGCAUCUAUUAUUCUAUUCAUUAUUCACUUUUUUUUCCAAAUAUAUCCCACCAACCUGCUAGAUCUCUAAUUAUAUGUGAUUUGGAUCCUGCCUCAGCUGUAAAGUUUUUAUUGAGAUCUAAAAUCUAGAAUAGAGAGGAUAAAUUGUCUACCCCUGUGCUGUCUUUCUCUAUUGAAUACCAUUUUUCCUUUUCUGCGGGUGUAUUCUGUGACAACAUUAUAUGAAUCAGCCUACAGGCCUGAUAACAUUGAGGAUUUCUGGGAAACUCAAACCUCCAUUUUGUCUUAUCCUGGCUAAAUUUUUAAUUUUCACUCUUGGUUUCUUUCCAUCCCAGACAAAUAUUUAAAAAGAGGCAUGUAACAUUAGUGACCAGUUUUCGGGACAGUUAAGAGGGAUCAUUCUCCAUAAAUAGAGCCAUCUUGGUAUUUAAUGUUUAUGGAUAUAUUUUUGGAAAACAUAAAGGCCACCGCACUUUUUUUUCUUUCAGAGCCACGCUUAUAAUAAGCGGAUAAUUAAUAGAUCUUAUAUUAAUUUUGUCAGUUUUUAUCCAAUGUGUUUCUUGUAAUGCACAAACUUGUAUUUGGUUUUUAUUCAGGAAAUCCAGAAUUAGGGAUCUUUUAAAUGGUGAGUUAAUCCCACGGGCGUUCAAUGAUGCUAGCUUAAUUUAACAAUUUCUGCCAGCUCAAAGGGCUCUCUCUCUCCAAUUUGUACAUCAGGGCUAUCAUAACAUAGGGUAUGUAAAAAAGUUUGAAAAUUACACACAUAGACAGGCUGGUCCUAAACAAAGGAAUCAGCCUAAGACACAGCUUGUGUAUGGCAAACACUCCCUGCCAUACUGUAUCUCAAGCAAUAUACCCCAUUGCUCACUAAAUGAACCCACUUAUCCUGUGGGUAAGCGUGCUGGGUUAGAAACCUAAGCAUCUAAUGGGUAUCACACUGUACCAAAAAUAAAUAAAUAAAUAUAGAAAUAAAUCAAUACAGAGGAGAAGAGGUAAAAUAAAAGAAAGUAAUGGCAUCACAACCCCGUCACUCAGCCAAAGAACCCUUAGGACAUUACAUUAUAGUGUUCUGAACUUCACUUAAAUGUGAAGUAUUUAUUAUGUGCUUCUAUUCCCAGAAUCUCUCUCUCUAAAAAAAAAAGAAAAACCUAUUCAUUCCAAUUUGUAAUCGUGUAGAG
Molecule: non-coding RNA, 1337 nt
Organism: Pelobates cultripes (western spadefoot toad)
Lineage: Eukaryota; Metazoa; Chordata; Amphibia; Anura; Pelobatidae
Source: the annotation of a GenBank genome assembly